Molecule: ribosomal RNA, 322 nt
Filed under: uncultured eukaryote
Lineage: Eukaryota
Description: partial 18S ribosomal RNA
Rfam family: Eukaryotic small subunit ribosomal RNA
Source: RNAcentral
CCCUUAGAUGUUCUGGGCCGCACGCGUGCUACACUGAGUGGAUCAGCGGGUCAGGUUGCGCGAAAGCGUUUCCUAAUCUUUAAAUCCGCUCGUGAUGGGGAUUGACGGUUGCAAUUUUCUGUCAUGAACAAGGAAUACCUUGUAAGCGCGGGUCAUCAUCCCGCGCUGAAUACGUCCCUGCCCUUUGUACACACCGCCCGUCGCUCCUACCGAUUGAGUGGUCCGGUGAGGCUUUGGGAUCUGAGCGGAAAGAGCGUUUCGCUGUUUCUGCUCGGAAAACUCAGUCGAACCUUAUCAUUUAGAGGAAGGAGAAGUCGUAACA